CGCCUGUUUAUCAAAAACAUAGCCUAUUGUUCAAAAUAUUAUAGGUAUAUCCUGCCCAGUGAUAAUUUCAACGGCCGCGGUAUCCUGACCGUGCAAAGGUAGCAUAAUCAUUUGUCUCUUAAUUAGUGACUUGUAUGAAUGGAUAAACGAGUAUCAAACUGUCUCCUUUAUUACAAUAUAAAUUAAUCUUCAGGUGAAGAAGCCUGAAUUUUAUUAAAAGACAAGAAGACCCUGUCGAGCUUUAUUUUACAUUAAACUAUAAAAUUCUUUCCUUUAAAUAAAAUUUAGUUGGGGCGACAAAGGAACAAAUAAAUCUUCCUUAAUAUAUUAGAUUUCAAAUCAAGUAAUAGAUCCAUUAAUUGAUCAAAGAAAAUAGCUACCGCAGGGAUAACAGUCUAAUUCUCCUCAAGAGCUCAUAUCCUAAAGGAGAGAUUGGCACCUCGAUGUUGGCUUAGGAAAUCUUCUAAACGCAGCCGUUUAUAUAGAAGGUUUGUUCAACCUUUAAAUUCCUACGUGAUCUGAGUUCAGACCGG
RNAcentral lists this ribosomal RNA (533 nucleotides) under Diopatra aciculata. RNAcentral describes it as "partial 16S ribosomal RNA". It matches the Rfam family "Bacterial large subunit ribosomal RNA", at positions 1797 to 2619 of the family's 2925-position model. The record is from RNAcentral. Lineage: Eukaryota; Metazoa; Annelida; Polychaeta; Eunicida; Onuphidae.